This 1335-nucleotide ribosomal RNA is filed under the name Escherichia coli. Its description in RNAcentral is "partial 23S ribosomal RNA". It matches the Rfam family "Bacterial large subunit ribosomal RNA", at positions 237 to 1614 of the family's 2925-position model. The record is from RNAcentral. Lineage: Bacteria; Pseudomonadati; Pseudomonadota; Gammaproteobacteria; Enterobacterales; Enterobacteriaceae.
CCCCCAGUAGCGGCGAGCGAACGGGGAGCAGCCCAGAGCCUGAAUCAGUGUGUGUGUUAGUGGAAGCGUCUGGAAAGGCGCGCGAUACAGGGUGACAGCCCCGUACACAAAAAUGCACAUGCUGUGAGCUCGAUGAGUAGGGCGGGACACGUGGUAUCCUGUCUGAAUAUGGGGGGACCAUCCUCCAAGGCUAAAUACUCCUGACUGACCGAUAGUGAACCAGUACCGUGAGGGAAAGGCGAAAAGAACCCCGGCGAGGGGAGUGAAAAAGAACCUGAAACCGUGUACGUACAAGCAGUGGGAGCACGCUUAGGCGUGUGACUGCGUACCUUUUGUAUAAUGGGUCAGCGACUUAUAUUCUGUAGCAAGGUUAACCGAAUAGGGGAGCCGAAGGGAAACCGAGUCUUAACUGGGCGUUAAGUUGCAGGGUAUAGACCCGAAACCCGGUGAUCUAGCCAUGGGCAGGUUGAAGGUUGGGUAACACUAACUGGAGGACCGAACCGACUAAUGUUGAAAAAUUAGCGGAUGACUUGUGGCUGGGGGUGAAAGGCCAAUCAAACCGGGAGAUAGCUGGUUCUCCCCGAAAGCUAUUUAGGUAGCGCCUCGUGAAUUCAUCUCCGGGGGUAGAGCACUGUUUCGGCAAGGGGGUCAUCCCGACUUACCAACCCGAUGCAAACUGCGAAUACCGGAGAAUGUUAUCACGGGAGACACACGGCGGGUGCUAACGUCCGUCGUGAAGAGGGAAACAACCCAGACCGCCAGCUAAGGUCCCAAAGUCAUGGUUAAGUGGGAAACGAUGUGGGAAGGCCCAGACAGCCAGGAUGUUGGCUUAGAAGCAGCCAUCAUUUAAAGAAAGCGUAAUAGCUCACUGGUCGAGUCGGCCUGCGCGGAAGAUGUAACGGGGCUAAACCAUGCACCGAAGCUGCGGCAGCGACGCUUAUGCGUUGUUGGGUAGGGGAGCGUUCUGUAAGCCUGUGAAGGUGUGCUGUGAGGCAUGCUGGAGGUAUCAGAAGUGCGAAUGCUGACAUAAGUAACGAUAAAGCGGGUGAAAAGCCCGCUCGCCGGAAGACCAAGGGUUCCUGUCCAACGUUAAUCGGGGCAGGGUGAGUCGACCCCUAAGGCGAGGCCGAAAGGCGUAGUCGAUGGGAAACAGGUUAAUAUUCCUGUACUUGGUGUUACUGCGAAGGGGGGACGGAGAAGGCUAUGUUGGCCGGGCGACGGUUGUCCCGGUUUAAGCGUGUAGGCUGGUUUUCCAGGCAAAUCCGGAAAAUCAAGGCUGAGGCGUGAUGACGAGGCACUACGGUGCUGAAGCAACAAAUGCCCUGCUUCCAGGAA